RNAcentral lists this ribosomal RNA (397 nucleotides) under uncultured bacterium. RNAcentral describes it as "partial 16S ribosomal RNA". It matches the Rfam family "Bacterial small subunit ribosomal RNA", at positions 523 to 918 of the family's 1533-position model. The record is from RNAcentral.
AUACGUAGGGGGCGAGCGUUGUCCGGAAUGAUUGGGCGUAAAGGGCGCGUAGGCGGCCCGGUAAGUCUGGAGUGAAAGUCCUGUUUUUAAGAUGGGAAUUGCUUUGGAUACUGUCGGGCUUGAGUGCAGGAGAGGUAAGUGGAAUUCCCAGUGUAGCGGUGAAAUGCGUAGAGAUUGGGAGGAACACCAGUGGCGAAGGCGACUUACUGGACUGGAACUGACGCUGAGGCGCGAAAGCGUGGGGAGCGAACAGGAUUAGAUACCCUGGUAGUCCACGCGGUAAACGAUGAAUGCUAGGUGUUGCGGGUAUCGCCCCCUGCAGUGCCGGAGUCAACACAAUAAGCAUUCCGCCUGGGGAGUACGGCCGCAAGGUUGAAACUCAAAUGAAUUGACGGGG